GCGAGUGUGGCGGAAUGGUAGACGCGACGGAUUCAAAAUCCGUUUCCCGAGAGGGAGUGUGGGUUCGAGUCCCACCACUCGUACCA
This 86-nucleotide transfer RNA is filed under the name Alloyangia pacifica. Its description in RNAcentral is "tRNA-Leu". It matches the Rfam family "tRNA". Rfam says of the family: Transfer RNA (tRNA) molecules are approximately 80 nucleotides in length. Their secondary structure includes four short double-helical elements and three loops (D, anti-codon, and T loops). Lineage: Bacteria; Pseudomonadati; Pseudomonadota; Alphaproteobacteria; Rhodobacterales; Roseobacteraceae. RNAcentral also lists the same sequence under 1 other name. The record is from RNAcentral.